AAUCUUUUUUAUUUCUUUGUUGGGAUUUGUGCCUUUUGCAUCAUGCUCAAUUGAUUUUUUUAAAUUUGUUUUUUUACCGAAAAAUUUAGAUUUCUAACAAGGUUGUUUAGUAAUGUAUGUAUUUGUCGAGUAGACUUUAUGAAAUUUUGUUAGUGUUGUGAUAAAUUAGUCGUUAAAUUUUAUAUCUGUUUAGUGAUUAUUUUUAAAUAGAUACUCCUUUGGUUUUGAUAUCUUUGGGGUGUAUAUACUUUAUCUUCUUUAUUUUUUUAAAAAUAGGUUAGAAGUACCUAGUUUUUAUAAAAUUGUUGAAAAUUUUUUUUGGAUUGGUUUUGUUAUUGUAAAUUAUCACUUUUUUAAUGUUUUGUGAAAAAUUUAUUAUUGAAUAAGUAAUAGUAAUUACAUUAAUUAUUUCUCGUAGGUUGUCCGUCUGUUUAUUAAAAACAUUUCCAUGUUUGUAAUUUUAUAUGGUAGUACCUGCUCUAUGUUUUUAUAAAUGGCCGCAGUAUAUUGACUGUGCGAAGGUAGCAUAAUUAAUUGCCUUGUAAUUUAAGGCUUGUUUGAAUGGUUUGACGAGAUAAUGUUUAAUAUUUUGUGUUUUGUUGAAAUUGAUUUUGAUGGUUCUGAAUCCUCAUUUAGUUAAUUAGACGGAAAGACCCCGGGAUCUUUUAUUUUGCCUGGGGCGGGUGUUUUUUUUUCAAAAUCAUUAUGACCCUUUAUAGUAUAAUGAGUUAAGUUACCCCGGGGAUAACAGUGUAAUAAUUAAUUAGAGUUCAUAUCGAAUUAAUUGAUUGCCACCUCGAUGUUGACUUAGGUAAAUAUAAUAGGCGCAGUUGUUUAUUAUUUAGGUCUGUUCGAUCCUAUUUUACCUCACACAGAG
RNAcentral lists this ribosomal RNA (877 nucleotides) under Mesocestoides corti. Its description in RNAcentral is "partial 16S ribosomal RNA". The stretch from base 641 to 877 matches the Rfam family "Bacterial large subunit ribosomal RNA", at positions 2076 to 2604 of the family's 2925-position model. Lineage: Eukaryota; Metazoa; Platyhelminthes; Cestoda; Cyclophyllidea; Mesocestoididae. The record is from RNAcentral.